Vitis vinifera (wine grape) is the source of this 529-nucleotide long non-coding RNA. RefSeq lists it as uncharacterized. The transcript is spliced from 2 exons. Lineage: Eukaryota; Viridiplantae; Streptophyta; Magnoliopsida; Vitales; Vitaceae. The record is from RefSeq and is a predicted model, not a curated record.
ACAAAACAUGAGGCCAAAUGGGAAUAUGAGAACUCGCUAUAAAUACAAGGCUCAUUCGGCUAUUGACUUACCAAAUACCAAGCAGCAAGCCAAACAAGUUGGAUGCGUAUUGAAUACAUAAUCCAUUAGGUGCCCCCUAGAGUUCCCCUGACCACUUCACUGGGGAUCUUCUUUAAUGACUUCCUACUGAAGUGUUUGGGGGAACUCCUGGUGUCAUUUAAUACCUAUCAACCACAGGCAUGAUCAAGGUUGAUGGACAGGGAUAAAUAUUCUAGCAGAAGGAUGGCUAACGUGUACUUUUCACCAAGUCAUCAACAGACGUGUUAUGUAUUAAGGAGCAACUCGGUACAUCUUGGUUGGGCUUGGGACGAAGAAACAAUAGGGUACACAAGGUUUCCUUUGAUUUCAGUUCCAUGGCGACAAGUUUUAUUUUAUUUUAUUUUUUACUUUCAACUUUUGAGAUGUACUGAAAAUUCAAGCAAUUAAUUUCCUUCAAAAUUAAGAAAAAUAAUAGUGGAUUUCUAAUCAA